UAUUACUUAUACGGUCACCUAUAUAUGUGUGAUCGAUAGGUUCAUGCGUGUCAAUGCGUAUCGACAAAUGUCUGUGGCACGCAACUGGUCGCAAAUACCGGCACGGAUUAGCUGCUAUCGCUCCUAAAAUCUUAGCCAACGCGAGAGAGAAAUAUUUGCAACUAUGUACAAACAAGUUGACAAACCGUUUACCUUUAUAAAUUUUUAUACACGCGCUUUUUCUACACGUCGUUACGUGUAAAUUUUAUACCCUACUUUAUGCAAAUAGACGCGAUUUCGAGACUCGUUCCGAUAAAAGUUUCCGAUAAACUUGGGAAAUCCCAGCAGCAAGUUGCUUUGCCUUCUGAAACAAAUGGUGCAACAAAAGGAGCAUCUGACUACGAGGCAAGAAUGGGGACAAACUUUCUGGCAAGAGGACUGCUUUGACCGUUCAGAACCUUCGAAUCGAAAAUCUAUCUCAAUCUUGUCUCGUACGUCUCGUGCAUAACUGUUCUUCGUACUCUUACACACACUGAAUACAGUUGAAACUCUCGAAAGUAACGAGGAAUUCGAUCGACGAUGGCCGAAUAGCACAGCAACGAAAGCUCAACGUUUAACGAAAGCCAAUUACUUUGCCUUUUUCUUUUUAAGAUCGCUAUUGGCCACGAUCGCGAUCUCAGGGAACGAUAUUAUCCCGCGCGAAAUGCAUCCGAGCAGGAUCUGGUGAAGGGCAACCAAGCAACAGAGGCAACCACACGCGUUAAUCGUUUGCAACUAACGAUGUUGCGUGACGCCCGUGACAGAGACGUGCGUACGAAAACCGUGCGACUAGCAAUCCGAGCAUUGCAAACUACAACGAAGAGCAUAAUUGUACCAAUAACAAUUGCGAAAAAUUGCGAAACAUUUAUUCGCUUAAACUGAUGCAAGAUUGUAAGAAAAGAUCAUCAGGUCUCAUUUUAUAAGCGAAGCUUCUAUUUUGAUAGUCGCGAGUUCGUUUCUUUCAAAGAUGAUUUUACAUCACGUGCCGGGUGGGAAACUGAAGACACAUUUUCCUCGAAAAUUGUAAAAAUUCAAACGCGUGUGUGAAAACAUUAAAAAAAUUUCUUUUCUCGUCAGUGAUUAUCUACCAUGAUUUUGAAACUUUUCUUCUUCACGACCUCUUGAAACUCGCUGUACGACAUACAUACGUACGUACGUACGUACGACAGAGAUCCAUAUGUGCGCGAUCGUGGAUCGAUCGAAAAUCGAUGAUGGAAGAAAUCGCGUGGCAACGAGGCGUUGAUGCAACAACGCGGUAAAAUUUGUACAACUCUCGUGCAUCGAUAACGAUCGAUCGAGACUACUACGCGGUUCGCCUAAUCGGUGACCGAGUAAUUUUACUGUGUUCUUAAAGCGAGCAGAAAUUACUUCACGCGAUAAUUAGAAUCACUGUCUGCUGUCAGGAGAACGAGCAGCGAUUAAUCAAAAGGGAAAUCUAUGUCUCGUUACUACGUACGUAGCGAUUGCGCUAUAGCUAUAGCGGGUCAAAAAUAAUUUGACGAUUCGGUAAUUUAACCUGACCGAUUCGUGCGUCCCUACGUUUCUAAUUUCGUCCAACACAUUCUAUCGAGACGAUUCUGUCGAUCGUAAUCUAUCUACUAUUUACGUACACACUCCGUUCUUACGUUCUUUUCUCAUUUAAUACUCGAUCGACGACGUACCUUCUUCUUCUUCUGCUGCUUCUUCGGGAAAGAAGAGAGAAGAAAGAGAGAAGAUUCUCACGCGCGUUACGCUCAGCGAUUUCUUUGCCUGAAAGAAACGCAAUCGUGCCACUUGGAAGAAUGCAUUGCAUCGUAGCUCGGAUCGGAUCGGAUCGGUGGGUAUAGCGGUGAUGUGCGUUAUGGAUUGCAACUGGCUUACGGUGUAACUAACUGCUACAGAGACAACGAGACAGCACACUGUAACGUACAUACGUAAAAUUAGAUGCUUGGACUCGAUAACCGGCGCGGCGCGGUGUUACGUAACGAUCAUUAACCGGUUCUACGACCAACAGACUGACAGAUAUUCAUCGUGAUUGUCAUCGAACAGCGGGAGGUCGAGCCCUUUGUCAGAACGCACCGACGUAAAGAGCAAAUUCGAUUUUUUCAAUCGAAUUUACAAGAAUAAGAAAGAUUCGCGUAUAUUUGCUCGAAGCCGGUACCGAAGGAGAUACCGGCAGUCUCGUUGGCUCGGUGAUUGCUGGAAUAUUUGCAAUUCCAGCCGUCGCCAUCUGGUAGAACAGCAUUUCUGCAAGUCGACAUAUCCAGGUGAAACUUAAAAUUCAAGCGUACGUCACGAGCAGCGACCAGUCCCCGCGAGCACACACACCUACGUACGUCGCGUAGCUCUCGCCGCAACGUAAUUACACGCUGCGCUUUCAUCGUCCAACAGAUCAUCCCCUGUUUAUGGGGAAACGUUUGAACGAAUCUCCGGGCCACACUGAUAGGAAACGAACAAACGAACGAACGAACGAACGAAGAAGGAGAGGAAGAGAGAAAGAGAGAAAGCUCAAAGAGCCCUUUCCCUUCCGGCUUCUAUGGUCGAUUUUCAUUCCGGCGGAACGUUCGCAAGCAGACGUCUGCGUAUCGGUAUGUUUGUGCAAUUACAAAUCUGGAAUCUUUUUGAUCGCGAAAAUUGAACAAUUGGUCGCGAACGAUGGAUCGAUCGAAAAGGAAAUCAUUCGUGAGAGAUUUUUUCUUUUUCUAACCGCGUUGACAAAUUUUUCUUCUCGUUCGACUACUCACGGCACUAAGUAAAUUCGACAGUCGGGGAAACUCUGAUAAACUCUGGAAGCGUACUGCAGUAUCUUUGUUUUCUCAUCAAAUGUUUCAUCAAGCGGAUUCCAUCGGUGCAUGUUUGAAAAUCGAACGUCGGUCAUGCAGACAAGUAGAUCCCCGACGUUUUCUCGUUUUCUGGUGCAACGUUUACAGCCACGCUGGUCGCGUGUUAACAUCUCGGUCGAUUCGUGUCUAUCCGUGUUAUCGAUACUCCCUCGCAUCUCCCGUACAAAGCCAAGUUGAAAUAUUUAUCGAACCACGGAAAGUAGGAAAUUUCCCUCUGAACUUGCUAGUAGUAUCCCAGUGACUCUAAAGUAGUCAAUUCGUACGGUAUAGCAGCUGGAAGUGAAGAGAAAUAAAUUUUCUCAACGUCGGAUUCGAGUUCAGUUCAGCACGGUUCAACUACGUAACCUGUUGCCGCUAUAAAUUUCCUUUCCGUUCGGUCGUUGCAACUCUGUAGCUGCACGCUUGACUUUCUCCUUGUUUCGUUUGCUUCUUCGUUGAUCGUUUUAUAUUCUCGAUAUAAAAGUAGUUGUUAAUAAGAAAUCCUUGUGCUCUACGAUGCAUACAUCACCCAUAAGUAAUCAAUUAUUUUGCAUUUGUUGGAGGGUUACGGCCUUUUCUGCCCAACAAUUUCCAACAAUUUGUGCGAGCGAACGUCAACGGGCUAGGCCGCCCGUUCCUAGGCGUGGGAAGACUUCCUCGCCUAUUUCGUCGAGGCCACUCGAGAUUAAGGACCAUGGGCCGAUUCCAAUGUUUAUAACCGACGCUUGUAAACUGAGCUAGGGUAUCCGGACCGAGGAGGAUACCCGAACUAGAGAAGGAAGCCAGGCGACAUUCCUUCUGCAGAACGUCGCCGAGAUCGCACGUCGGAGUCAGUCUUCAGAUUAGCAAGAAAAUAUACUCUUUGUUAUAAACGAGAAUUACAUUGUAAAAAUAUUGCCUACACUUGGAA
This is an RNA transcript of Frieseomelitta varia, 3729 nucleotides long. RefSeq lists it as uncharacterized. The record is from RefSeq and is a predicted model, not a curated record. NCBI's taxonomy places the organism in Eukaryota, Metazoa, Arthropoda, Insecta, Hymenoptera, Apidae. The transcript has 2 exons.